Molecule: long non-coding RNA, 1540 nt
Filed under: Prunus dulcis (almond)
Lineage: Eukaryota; Viridiplantae; Streptophyta; Magnoliopsida; Rosales; Rosaceae
Description: sRNA ncRNA
Source: RNAcentral
CCCUACAUUGCCACCCCUCUUGAAUUAUUUUUUCAUAAUCUUCAUCAGCUGUGCAUUGUUCCUCGAACUGAAAACGACGCGGACUCCGAUGACGCCAAACUUCAUCUCUAGGCCGUGCAUCAGGAAUGAUGAAGAUUGGUUGAUAAUCAGAAGUGUAGGUCGAGAGAUGAUAUAUGGUAUAAUUACCCCACUAUUGAAGCAAGGCUAUAUUACAGAAACCCCUGUCUAAGCGCACUUGAACAUUUGCGUCAUCUCUGCGAUUAUUCGUCCAGGUAAAGGGGUGACCCAUAAAAUCAAAUGGUAACAGAUUACAGUCAUCAACCACCUAUUGAAAUUGUUCAAGUUGACUGAUUGAUCGAAUGUGAGGACCCUUUUUUUCAUCCACAACUAGAAUCUCAUUGAAGUCGCCACAACACAACCAUGGACCAAAACCCACCUGACUAAAUCAGCGGAGAAGCUCCCAAGAAUGAAUCCGCUGGCUAGGGUCAGGAUGACCAUAGAAUCUAGUUAUUCGAGUAACAAAGGAAUUGGGGAAAGUAACACUAACGUCAAUAUGUCCUGGAGAGGAAGAGAGCAACACAACCUGCAAACCAACCUUCCAGAGAAUACGGAGACCCCUAGAUAACCCUUCACGAGGAACACACAGGACGCCUCCCACACCAAGCCUUCGGAGUAAACCACCCAUUUGGACAGCAGUCUAAGAGUCUCAGUAAGGCAAACAAUGUCUGGUUUCUUGUCCUGGUGAAGGUUUUUGAGGUCACAGAACGUACGGCUGUUGCCAAGCCCCCGCACGUUCCAGCUUAACAUAGACAUAGAAAGAACUAAAAGAUGGAUCCACUAUAACCAUUGAUCUAAGCAGGAGAGAGGAUGCCGCACCACUAGAGCAAGAAAACCAUAACAACAUAACAAAUCAAUCAUAGAAACAUUACGGCGCUGAGUCGCCUAGGAGACUACAAAAAGAAAUCCAGAAUCGAAACAAAUAGCAACAAAGCAGGCGAUGUGAGGAGGGCAAGAGGGCAAAGAGCCCUAAACACAGCCUUGUGAGCGAGCGGGAAUAGACCAAACUCGAGUCGAGACCCAAUUGACCAUGAUGAUGGCUUGAGGCGACUAAUCCGCAGGAAAAAAAAGGGGCGAGCAGCGGGGAUGAAGCCAAGUUAUUGGGGUUAGUAGCCGGAUGACAAGAGAAGACGAUGACGAUGACAACCCAGGCGCAGAGAGAAUGACGGCAAUGGAGCACGAGAUGAUGGCGGCGAAACGCAAAGGGAAACCUUAGAUAUGACGCAAGGCUCUCCUCGCGCAGCGAGAGAGCGACCCAACAUUUAUUUACUCAAUUAUGAACUCAUUCUUCAAGCAUGCGUUAUGUGAGUUGGUUAGUGCCAUAUGUCCAACUGUUUCACUUGAAUUCAAUUUCCCCAUCCCGUAGAUUAAAGUACGCUAUACCGUUACUUAUGCGUGUUACAAACAUAAAUUAUGAACUUGAACUUUUAUUAUUCCUAAGAAGUAAAACACUCAAACAUUGUUUGAGGAAUAAAUAUAUUUU